GGGUUUUUCAGUUCCCAGUGGGCAGC
RNAcentral lists this non-coding RNA (26 nucleotides) under Rattus norvegicus (Norway rat). Lineage: Eukaryota; Metazoa; Chordata; Mammalia; Rodentia; Muridae. The record is from RNAcentral.